UACAGAGGUCCCAAGCGUUGUUCGGAUUCACUGGGCGUAAAGAGCUCGUAGGCGGUGUGUCGCGUCGGCCGUGAAAACCUGCAGCUUAACUGUGGGCUUGCGGUCGAUACGGGCAUCACUGGAGUUCGGCAGGGGAGACUGGAAUUCCUGGUGUAGCGGUGAAAUGCGCAGAUAUCAGGAGGAACACCGGUGGCGAAGGCGGGUCUCUGGGCCGAUACUGACGCUGAGGAGCGAAAGCGUGGGGAGCGAACAGG
Molecule: ribosomal RNA, 254 nt
Filed under: uncultured bacterium
Lineage: Bacteria
Description: partial 16S ribosomal RNA
Rfam family: Bacterial small subunit ribosomal RNA
Source: RNAcentral